UGACGGUACCUGACUAAGAAGCCCCGGCUAACUACGUGCCAGCAGCCGCGGUAAUACGUAGGGGGCAAGCGUUAUCCGGAUUUACUGGGUGUAAAGGGAGCGUAGACGGCAAGGCAAGUCUGAUGUGAAAUGCGGGGGCUCAACCCCUGAACUGCAUUGGAAACUGUUUAGCUAGAGUGCAGGAGAGGUAAGUGGAAUUCCUAGUGUAGCGGUGAAAUGCGUAGAUAUUAGGAGGAACACCAGUGGCGAAGGCGGCUUACUGGACUGUAACUGACGUUGAGGCUCGAAAGCGUGGGGAGCAAACAGGAUUAGAUACCCUG
This 320-nucleotide ribosomal RNA is filed under the name uncultured bacterium. RNAcentral's name for it is "bacterial SSU rRNA". It matches the Rfam family "Bacterial small subunit ribosomal RNA", at positions 470 to 789 of the family's 1533-position model. The record is from RNAcentral.